GGGGCUGAUUCUGGAUUCGACGGGAUUUGCGAAACCCAAGGUGCAUGCCGAGGGGCGGUUGGCCUCGUAAAAAGCCGCAAAAAAUAGUCGCAAACGACGAAAACUACGCUUUAGCAGCUUAAUAACCUGCUUAGAGCCCUCUCUCCCUAGCCUCCGCUCUUAGGACGGGGAUCAAGAGAGGUCAACCCCAAAAGAGAUCGCGUGGAAGCCCUGCCUGGGGUUGAAGCGUUAAAACUUAAUCAGGCUAGUUUGUUAGUGGCGUGUCCGUCCGCAGCUGGCAAGCGAAUGUAAAGACUGACUAAGCAUGUAGUACCGAGGAUGUAGGAAUUUCGGACGCGGGUUCAACUCCCGCCAGCUCCACCA
This 363-nucleotide transfer-messenger RNA is filed under the name Escherichia coli. RNAcentral describes it as "Standard tmRNA". It matches the Rfam family "transfer-messenger RNA". From Rfam's summary of the family: Bacterial tmRNA, also known as 10Sa RNA or SsrA, is named for its dual tRNA and mRNA-like properties. Lineage: Bacteria; Pseudomonadati; Pseudomonadota; Gammaproteobacteria; Enterobacterales; Enterobacteriaceae. The record is from RNAcentral. RNAcentral also lists the same sequence under 4 other names.